Long non-coding RNA from Brassica napus (rape), 1723 nucleotides. RefSeq lists it as uncharacterized. The record is from RefSeq and is a predicted model, not a curated record. The transcript is spliced from 5 exons. NCBI's taxonomy places the organism in Eukaryota, Viridiplantae, Streptophyta, Magnoliopsida, Brassicales, Brassicaceae.
UAUUCUCUACGUUUGUGGGCUUUGUCGCGUGUUGAGUGUUUGGGCCGUGAAGUGUGAAGAUAUGUCGGGCCCAUAGAGUAUCUGUUGUCUCUAUUCCUGAUACGCAGAGAAGAAACGAGGUCCUCUUCCCUCUUUGUGCGACGGCGACUAUGUUGUUUCCUCUUUCUCUUACCUUCUGAAACGGUUUGAGUAAAGAUUUCGUGUUUAAUCUCAUUGAUUCCCCAUCUUCAAUGCUCUUUUUCGAUCUCAAAGUCGGUGAUUUCAGUAUAAAUAAGUGUUGAGUAUUCGUCUCCUUCAUCUCAUCUUAGCUUCGUAUCUCAUACAGAAAGAUUGUGUUAUGGCUAAUUCUAGGGUUUUCUUCUCCAAUCUGAAGUCCGGCAACUGCUCCUCCGUUGUCGAGGCUAGGCUUCUGCGGUUUUGGGAGGCUAGGCUUCUGCUUUUUUGGGUCGAUAUGCUUCGUGUCUCUUUUGUUUCGUCAUGAAAAGCAAGAGUUUCAAGGAGUGUCCUCAUCCAGAUGAUAAGCAGAGAACCAACUUAGCAGAGAAUAGGGUUUGGCUCCAAGACAAAUAAAGUUCUGGUUCCAGAACAGAAGAACUCAGCUUAAGGCGCAACAUGAGAGACCAUAUAACAAUGCACUAAAGGCAGAGAAGGACAAGUCGAUGUGAGAACAUAGCCAUUAGAGAAGCACUCAAGCAUGCUAUAUUCAAUUUAUGCUGACACCAUUAGUCCUGUUCUGCCUUUUCCUGCCUGCAAAAGUUGUAUUAGAAUCUGAUAUGGUUCAACAACGUGAUAGAAUCUUUAUAAUUCGUAGAAUACCAUGCAGUGCACCACCGCGAUGUUUUUGGGAUCUAACGAGAGCCAGGAAUGAACACUUUCGCAGAAAAGUUGGAUCAUUUUAAGAGUUGGGACAUGGUUGUCAUCAAAUGGGAAUCUCUCCACGCGGCCGUAAAAGUUUUCUGGAUCAUAACAUUCUUCUAUGCAUAGGUUGUAGACCUGACCAAAACAAGAUUUGGUUAAUCUGUUUAUAUAAACGAUAAUGAUUUGAUUAUAUUGUCUUAUUGACCUUGUAGUGAUUAUGAUGUCGCAUAUCAAGCACGGACUUGACUUGCAAGAUCAUCAUCAUCUCCACCUGCAAGAUCGCAGGUGUAAAGACACCAGUGAGAAAUUCUACUUCAGUGAGAGGGUCAACUUCGGGAAGAGCAUCAUCUCCUCCAGAAAAAAUCCACAAAGCCCAAGAGAAACAUAUUAAAGACGGUUGGAUCCAGAUCGAUAGCUGCAAGGGGGAAGAAAGGUUCAGAAAGAACAGGUUCUUUUUCCAAGUUAUACUAACGUACAACUUUGAAUGAAUAAACAAGUUGGAAAAGCUAUUGAGACAAAAGGAAAUUCUUCACAGAUGGUGGGAAGGUCCAAGAGAAGAUGAGGAAUCUGACAUGAAUGGGACUAUGAAACCAAAAGUUGUGUCCAGACGCUAGGAGGGCUCACGCACAAUGUAUCUGCAGUAUGUUUCCAACCGGAGCUUCCAAUAAUACCCACAGGUUUUGAGGAUGGCACUGUUCGCAUUUGGCACCCUAUGACGUAAGAGUGUUACGUACGAGUGUUUUAUUUAAAACUUUUAUUCUGUCAAUAAACAUAGCAGUGUUGUUGUUUUUUUGGUAUUUAACUUAACUAUGUCUUGAAUACAUGAGACUCUUUCUUAUAUUCAUUAUCACAGUUGGUUUGUUUU